UACGUAGGUGGCGAGCGUUGUCCGGAAUUAUUGGGCGUAAAGGGCGUGUAGGCGGUAAGAUAAGUCUGAUGUGAAAUCUCAUAGCUCAACUAUGAACGUGCAUUGGAAACUGUCAAACUAGAGUGUCGGAGAGGAAAGCGGAAUUCCAUGUGUAGCGGUGGAAUGCGUAGAUAUAUGGAGGAACACCAGUGGCGAAGGCGGCUUUCUGGACGACUACUGACGCUGAGGCGCGAAAGCGUGGGGAGCAAACAGG
Molecule: ribosomal RNA, 253 nt
Filed under: uncultured bacterium
Lineage: Bacteria
Description: partial 16S ribosomal RNA
Rfam family: Bacterial small subunit ribosomal RNA
Source: RNAcentral